CGGGCAGCCAUGGAAGAGCUUGCUCUUCUGAUGGCGAGUGGCGAACGGGUGAGUAAAGCAUCGGAACGUACCGUGUAGUGGGGAUAACGUAGCGAAAGUUUACGCUAAUACCGCAUACGAUCUACGGAUGAAAGCAGGGGACCGCAAGGCCUUUGCGCGAACGGAGCGGCCGAUGGCAGAUUAGGUAGUUGGUGGGAUAAAAAGCUUUACCAAGCCGACGAUCUGUAGCUGGUCUGAGAGGACGACCAGCCACACUGGAACUGAGACACGGUCCAGACUCCUACGGGAGGCAGCAGUGGGGAAUUUUGGACAAUGGGGGCAACCCUGAUCCAGCAAUGCCGCGUGAGUGAAGAAGGCCUUCGGGUUGUAAAGCUCUUUUGUCAGGGAAGAAACGGUGGGGGCUAAUAUCCUCUGCUAAUGACGGUACCUGAAGAAUAAGCACCGGCUAACUACGUG
RNAcentral lists this ribosomal RNA (456 nucleotides) under uncultured bacterium. Its description in RNAcentral is "bacterial SSU rRNA". It matches the Rfam family "Bacterial small subunit ribosomal RNA", at positions 63 to 507 of the family's 1533-position model. The record is from RNAcentral.